GACUUGGGAGAACACGAGAGGCGGUCUAUCAUGCAGUCGAGCGAUGGAUUAAGAGCUUGCUCUUAUGAAGUUAGCGGCGGACGGGUGAGUAACACGUGGGUAACCUGCCCAUAAGACUGGGAUAACUCCGGGAAACCGGGGCUAAUACCGGAUAACAUUUUGAACUGCAUGGUUCGAAAUUGAAAGGCGGCUUCGGCUGUCACUUAUGGAUGGACCCGCGUCGCAUUAGCUAGUUGGUGAGGUAACGGCUCACCAAGGCAACGAUGCGUAGCCGACCUGAGAGGGUGAUCGGCCACACUGGGACUGAGACACGGCCCAGACUCCUACGGGAGGCAGCAGUAGGGAAUCUUCCGCAAUGGACGAAAGUCUGACGGAGCAACGCCGCGUGAGUGAUGAAGGCUUUCGGGUCGUAAAACUCUGUUGUUAGGGAAGAACAAGUGCUAGUUGAAUAAGCUGGCACCUUGACGGUACCUAACCAGAAAGCCACGGCUAACUACGUGCCAGCAGCCGCGGUAAUACGUAGGUGGCAAGCGUUAUCCGGAAUUAUUGGGCGUAAAGCGCGCGCAGGUGGUUUCUUAAGUCUGAUGUGAAAGCCCACGGCUCAACCGUGGAGGGUCAUUGGAAACUGGGAGACUUGAGUGCAGAAGAGGAAAGUGGAAUUCCAUGUGUAGCGGUGAAAUGCGUAGAGAUAUGGAGGAACACCAGUGGCGAACGCGACUUUCUGGUCUGUAACUGACACUGAGGCGCGAAAGCGUGGGGAGCAAACAGGAUUAGAUACCCUGGUAGUCCACGCCGUAACGAUGAGUGCUAGUGUUAGAGGGUUUCCGCCCUUUAGUGCUGAAGUUAACGCAUUAAGCACUCCGCCUGGGGAGUACGGCCGCAGGCUGAACUCAAGAAUGACGGGGCCCGCACAGCGUGAGCAUGUGUUUAUCGAGCACGCGAGACUUACAGUCUGACAUCGUCUGAACCCUAGAGAUAGGCUCUCUCGGAGCAGAGUGACAGUGUGCAUGUGUCGUCAGCUCUGUCUGAGAUGUGGUAAGUCCGCACGAGCGCAACCUGAUCUAGUUGCAUCAUAAAUUGGCACUCUAAGGUGACUGCCGGUGACGAACCCGCAGAAGAUGGGAUGAGUCAUCAUCAUGGCCUUAUUGACCUUGGCUCACACGUGCUCCAUGGAGUGUUCCAAGGUUCGACGUCAAGUGGACUAUGUCUCUGAACCGCUCUCGUAUUCCGAAUAUGUAUAAGCGUGCA
This 1248-nucleotide ribosomal RNA is filed under the name uncultured bacterium. RNAcentral describes it as "bacterial SSU rRNA". It matches the Rfam family "Bacterial small subunit ribosomal RNA", at positions 21 to 1318 of the family's 1533-position model. The record is from RNAcentral.